This is a long non-coding RNA of Xiphophorus hellerii (green swordtail), 427 nucleotides long. RefSeq lists it as uncharacterized. The transcript has 2 exons. The record is from RefSeq and is a predicted model, not a curated record. NCBI's taxonomy places the organism in Eukaryota, Metazoa, Chordata, Actinopteri, Cyprinodontiformes, Poeciliidae.
GAUGUCUUUAAAGCGCCGACUGGUCUCCAUGUUUCUGUGCUGUGUUUACUGCGUGGCCUCACUCUUCUGCCUCCAUCCAAACCGCAGCAAUAUUGUCUCAGUGGGAGCGCGGAGUCUGUCGACCGUCUUCCAACAACUUUACCAGCGUGUCAUCCGAAUGCUGAGAACCACGCUGUGACUUCACACCACUUCCUGUGUUCGAAAGAGCCACCCUGGAUCUCCUGUCACUGUGACCGUGACCGAGCAUGCCUCCCAACAGAGCAAGAACAAAUGAAUAAAAGAAGAGAAAAGAAAAGAGGAAUAAUAUGUGUGGGACUGCAGAGUUUGAAUUGACUCAUAUUUGUCUGAACAGCUUUCCAAAUGACCAGAGAAGAAGAUGAAGACAAAUUUAUUUUUCUACACUUGACAAUGUAUGUUUGAUCACGAG